CAUUUGCUACUUCAGGUUAGCCAAUAUGAUUUUUUGAAUUCGUUCAAUUCCUCUCCUCACCAACUACUGAAGCCAGGGACGUGAUCCAUCCUUGCAAUGGCCAUCGGAGCCAUUCUUCCACUCACUUUAGCUCUCAUUUUGGUGAAUCAAUGGACGGAAGGCUUUCAUUUUACCCCUGCUCAAGCCAACCUUGCCAAAUUGGGGUCUUGGAGUCGAAGGAACCAAUUGGAUUCGCGGUUAAUCAAGUGUCUCCAGAGAGCCAAGCUCAUGGACUGCCAAAACGACAUUGUCAAGGUACUCAUCUCGAGAAGCAGGAAUAGAAAGCGUGAGCCUCCAUUUCAGCUCAAGA
Molecule: long non-coding RNA, 349 nt
Organism: Tigriopus californicus
Lineage: Eukaryota; Metazoa; Arthropoda; Copepoda; Harpacticoida; Harpacticidae
Exons: 3
Source: RefSeq, a predicted model, not a curated record